This 78-nucleotide non-coding RNA is filed under the name Kitasatospora griseola. Its description in RNAcentral is "partial 16S ribosomal RNA". It matches the Rfam family "Bacterial small subunit ribosomal RNA", at positions 1456 to 1533 of the family's 1533-position model. RNAcentral also lists the same sequence under 1 other name. Lineage: Bacteria; Bacillati; Actinomycetota; Actinomycetes; Kitasatosporales; Streptomycetaceae. The record is from RNAcentral.
UCGAAGGUGGGACCAGCGAUUGGGACGAAGUCGUAACAAGGUAGCCGUACCGGAAGGUGCGGCUGGAUCACCUCCUUU